Molecule: small RNA, 28 nt
Filed under: Bombyx mori (domestic silkworm)
Lineage: Eukaryota; Metazoa; Arthropoda; Insecta; Lepidoptera; Bombycidae
Description: piRNA piR-bmo-1721927
Source: RNAcentral
UCAAGGUUGUUCUGUAUUUGUGCGAUGC